Molecule: transfer RNA, 67 nt
Filed under: Panopea generosa
Lineage: Eukaryota; Metazoa; Mollusca; Bivalvia; Adapedonta; Hiatellidae
Description: tRNA-Gly
Rfam family: tRNA
About the family: Transfer RNA (tRNA) molecules are approximately 80 nucleotides in length. Their secondary structure includes four short double-helical elements and three loops (D, anti-codon, and T loops). Further hydrogen bonds mediate the characteristic L-shaped molecular structure. tRNAs have two regions of fundamental functional importance: the anti-codon, which is responsible for specific mRNA codon recognition, and the 3' end, to which the tRNAs corresponding amino acid is attached (by aminoacyl-tRNA synthetases). tRNAs cope with the degeneracy of the genetic code in two manners: having more than one tRNA (with a specific anti-codon) for a particular amino acid; and 'wobble' base-pairing, i.e. permitting non-standard base-pairing at the 3rd anti-codon position.
Source: RNAcentral
GUGUUAGUAGUUUAUUAGAAUAAUUGCCUUCCAAGCAAUAGGUUUAGGUUUUUACUUAAUUAACAUA